RNAcentral lists this ribosomal RNA (433 nucleotides) under uncultured bacterium. Its description in RNAcentral is "partial 16S ribosomal RNA". It matches the Rfam family "Bacterial small subunit ribosomal RNA", at positions 29 to 507 of the family's 1533-position model. The record is from RNAcentral.
AACGAACGCUGGCGGCAUGCCUAACACAUGCAAGUCGAACGAGACCUUCGGGUCUAGUGGCGCACGGGUGCGUAACGCGUGGGAACCUGCCCUUAGGUUCGGAAUAACUCCCCGCAAGGGGUGCUAAUACCGGAUAAUGUCUUCGGACCAAAGAUUUACCGCCUUUGGAUGGGCCCGCGUUGGAUUAGCUAGUUGGUAGGGUAAAAGCCUACCAAGGCGACGAUCCAUAGCUGGUCUGAGAGGAUGAUCAGCCACACUGGCACUGAGACACGGCCCAGACUCCUACGGGAGGCAGCAGUGGGGAAUAUUGGACAAUGGGCGAGAGCCUGAUCCAGCAAUGCCGCGUGAGUGAUGAAGGCCUUAGGGUUGUAAAGCUCUUUUACCCGGGAUGAUAAUGACAGUACCGGGAGAAUAAGCUCCGGCUAACUCCGUG